This is a long non-coding RNA of Eupeodes corollae, 662 nucleotides long. RefSeq lists it as uncharacterized. NCBI's taxonomy places the organism in Eukaryota, Metazoa, Arthropoda, Insecta, Diptera, Syrphidae. The transcript has 4 exons. The record is from RefSeq and is a predicted model, not a curated record.
UUCAGUUUCAGUAUCAAUAAUGCAAAUGAAGAUAAAGAAGAAACCAAGGAUAACAUUGCAACAAGAAAAGUGGAAGCCCCGAGUAGGAAGCCAGCAACGCCGACAUAUUUAUUCUGCAGUGAAUAGUUAAAAUUACACUUCUCGACAAGACUUCCUGGCAAUCAAAUCGCUCUAUUCUAAUGGUUUAUAUCCUGUUUUUCAACACUGUAGGAAUGAGAAAGGCCGAUUACAGCGAAGGGAUCAAUGUCGCAGAAGACUGAAAGCUUCGCUUAGCUAUACAAGUCGAGAACUCAAGAGUUGCUAUAAAGUUGAGGAAUCUCUUUACUUGGUGGGCAUUCAUAGCCAAGCCAAAUACAAGUUGAAUCAAAUGCAGCGUGUGAUAGCAGUAGCACAUUUACGUAAUGUUACAAUGCAAAGCACUUCUUUCAGCCAGCUACGGAUAGGCGAAAGAUCGCAGUGUAUGCAUUUAAUCUACAGUCAGUUUUUCAAAACAGUACCUACCACCGAGGAUUCGCCAAUUGAUCAGUUUCUAUGUUAUUUUUUGCAGAAAUUCAUAUUUGAAUAUCUUCUUUUUACAUUUUUUUUGGAACUCUGUGAUGUAUUUGGUCUCUGGAAUUCAAUUGAAAUACCUUCCUUCACUCAUGAUUUAUUGCUUUCGAUUC